ACAACAUUCGAACCGUCGAUAUACCGAGCAAUAUCACCCGCUCGAUGAAAAAUCUUCCCUCAGUCGU
Molecule: microRNA precursor, 67 nt
Filed under: Bombyx mori (domestic silkworm)
Lineage: Eukaryota; Metazoa; Arthropoda; Insecta; Lepidoptera; Bombycidae
Description: mir-2774 microRNA precursor family
Rfam family: mir-2774 microRNA precursor family
Source: Rfam by way of RNAcentral